AUGCGGGCAAAACCCCUCGAUGAACCCUACCGCAGCCUUCUCCCCCUCGCCACUCGUCCACGCGCAGCCAUAGGGCAAAUCGGAUCUCAUGGAGGAGCUUCAGCCGCCGCCGCCGUUGACCGUCCGAAUCCACCGCCCGCACCAGGACGACGCUGCCACCGACGCCCGACUUCGCCGGAGCACGCCGGAGUUCAGGAGCUCGCCGCCACCCUCAGUAGAGGACGCCCCGUCGCCGUUGAACACCACCACCACCUCCACCACUCACCGCCGCAUCCUCCUGUCACUUCCCCCUCGCCGGAGAGUCGCCAGAGGAGCGCCACCGCCGCCGUUUUCCUCUGUACAUGA
This 345-nucleotide ribosomal RNA is filed under the name Triticum aestivum (bread wheat). RNAcentral describes it as "partial small subunit ribosomal RNA". Lineage: Eukaryota; Viridiplantae; Streptophyta; Magnoliopsida; Poales; Poaceae. The record is from RNAcentral.